Molecule: ribosomal RNA, 468 nt
Filed under: uncultured bacterium
Lineage: Bacteria
Description: partial 16S ribosomal RNA
Rfam family: Bacterial small subunit ribosomal RNA
Source: RNAcentral
GACGAACGCUGGCGGCGUGCUUAACACAUGCAAGUCGAACGGAAAGGCCCUGCUUUUGUGGGGUGCUCGAGUGGCGAACGGGUGAGUAACACGUGAGUAACCUGCCCUUGACUUUGGGAUAACUUCAGGAAACUGGGGCUAAUACCGGAUAGGAGCUCCUGCUGCAUGGUGGGGGUUGGAAAGUUUCGGCGGUUGGGGAUGGACUCGCGGCUUAUCAGCUUGUUGGGGGGGUAGGGGCUUACCAAGGCUUUGAAGGGUAGCCGGCCUGAGAGGGGGGCCGGCCACAUUGGGACUGAGAUACGGCCCAGACUCCUACGGGAGGCAGCAGUGGGGAAUAUUGCACAAUGGGCGGAAGCCUGAUGCAGCAACGCCGCGUGCGGGAUGACGGCCUUCGGGUUGUAAACCGCUUUCGCCUGUGACGAAGCGUGAGUGACGGUAAUGGGUAAAGAAGCACCGGCUAACUACGUG